This is a non-coding RNA of Mycena albidolilacea, 94 nucleotides long. Lineage: Eukaryota; Fungi; Basidiomycota; Agaricomycetes; Agaricales; Mycenaceae. The record is from the annotation of a GenBank genome assembly.
GCAUUAAUGGGGUAGUGGUAACCUGGGUCGUUGCCAUGCGGGAAUCAAAACAUAAAUGCUCGACCCGCCGGGGGUUCGAUUCCCCCUUAAUGCA